UACGGAAAACGAUUCCUCUUCGCGGAAAUAAUCUCCACUCAAAUUUUCACUUGCGGAUUUUCCGUUUUUCAAUAAAUGUAAAAAGAAUAUCGCCGAUUCAGGCGCGGCGCUAAAACUAUACUUGAUGCUAUUACCUCGAAAAACAACAUUUUGACAUAAAUUUUUUAUUGAAUUCGAUUCCUCCUCAUUUGCGGAUUACGUAGGAAUCAUUAUUAUAUGGAUUAUUAAUUAAAAUAAUUAAAAAAAUCAUAUCAUAAAUUUUACUCGGGAACCUGGUUUAUUUUUAGUGACUUUUGUUCCGUCCGUUCCGAUAUUCCAAUAAUAUCCCUAAACGUGCCUACAGGCGCUGUGACGAUAAAAGUAAUGUAGAAUAUUACGGAAAAUCGCUGUAAUCUGGCCUGAAUAUAAGUGCAUAAAUCGUUUCCUCCUCACAUGCGGAUUAUCGUCCAAUAGUUGAAAGAUGCCAUUGAGCUGCAUUAUUAUUGAAAAAUAUGGCCUAAACAUCGCCAGCCACAUAGGCCGAUGGGUUAUGUAGCAUCAGCUGAUUAUUGUUUUCGUCGUGUAGCUUUGGCUCUGCAGUAAUGACUGGACGUUCUGGAUCAUCUCUGUUUCUCAUCACGGUUUGCUGAAUAUUUAACAUCAGAUAAGUAUUACUCUAUCAACAUUUUUACAAUCUGUGUAAAAUUGUUCCGGGUACUUUGUGUUUUUCUAUUUUUUUUUCAGGAUUUUAACGCUGCAAACACAGAGUCGGAUGGACGCUUUAAGCUAAUCCAUCACGUAUUUCCCAUGUAUUUUCACUAUGAUUGAAAAUAGUAAAAUAAUGGGCUAAACCUCCACUAACAUUUGAACCGGUGAACGCAAUAAGUCCUGAUAACGAAUUUUCUACUACAUCAUCUCUGUAACAGUCUUCUGUGUCUAUUAUUAAAUAGGAAUUAAUGUUAUACGUCAAACUUGCAUAGUUAGAACAAUUUUGGCAAUACACGUUUGUAUUAUAUAAAGAAUUUGUUAUUUCUUUUUCCAAACAAGAGAUACCAUUUGUUAUGAUUGAUAACAAAUUAGGUACUAUUACAGGUACAGUUUUUGAUGAUCUAUAUUGACAAAGAUGACAAUAUAUCUCUUGGGUGUUAUUACAAGAAGAUUCCGUAAGGAUUGAAAAUAAAUUAUUUACAUUGUA
Nasonia vitripennis (jewel wasp) is the source of this 1174-nucleotide long non-coding RNA. RefSeq lists it as uncharacterized. The record is from RefSeq and is a predicted model, not a curated record. The transcript has 3 exons. Lineage: Eukaryota; Metazoa; Arthropoda; Insecta; Hymenoptera; Pteromalidae.